Molecule: long non-coding RNA, 928 nt
Filed under: Rattus norvegicus (Norway rat)
Lineage: Eukaryota; Metazoa; Chordata; Mammalia; Rodentia; Muridae
Description: long non-coding RNA NONRATT024123
Source: RNAcentral
UUUUUUUUUUCAGGACUAACCUCCAACCAAUUCCAGUCGAGGAAGCAAACCUCAAACAAAUUUAACCCUUGAAAUCCACCCCUACGACUCUACCACAGAGUCUAGGCUUCACUGCAGGACUGUCUUGCACAGACACUUAAAAGAUUUCUUCGUGAAGUGAAAGCACUAAGCCUCCCAAAUCAUCACCAUCAUUUCUCUUGUCAAUCACGGGGUGCUGGGACAGCGAUUCACCUACGAACUCCUUACUCGCCAACAUCAUACUUCACAUUUAAAAACUUACUGUGCGAAAAGGGAAAAAGAGAAGUCACCUUCUCCACAAGGACACCUGCCUCGCCUCUUCAGUGUCUCUAUAAGGAUAGCGGAGCCAGAAAGGCUAACAGAUACUCCCCAGCUUAAAGUUUCCCUCCCUACUAAACUCUUUGGCCACAGCACCUCGGCUUGUCCUUGUCACACACAGGGUGUAUUGUCAAUCCCUCCGUCUCCCUCUAAUAUCACCACACUAGAGGGUGUCUGGCCCAUGGGAGUGACUGCUUUUUAAAAAAUGCAUAUGCAAAUAAUAUUAAAGGAACCACCGCUGAUGUGUGGUAAGGACGGAGGACCCCGGUGUCCAGUUUCUCUGAGUCUCUUCCAAGCGACUAUGGAGAGCUCAAGAUCCAUCACUGACCAUUAGCCAGCCCUACCUACAAUCGUCGGGCCAACGUGUAUUACUUGUCUUUCUAGGUCCUUUCAGCAGAACCUUGCAAAGGGACCAAAUCCCAGCCGCAAGAGGAAAAUCUCCUUUAUCCGCCCAUUCCUACCUCAGAAGCCCUAGUCCCAAGGGGAGAAAGGCAAGUGCAGCCAGGCUAGGCAAAGGGGCCGUCGAAAGCUGCACCCACAGAAAAGCACGCCUCGGUCGCCCCCAUUUAGCUGUCCCGGCGAACAAGAUUCA